GCCGCUGUGGUGGAAUUGGUAGACACGACAGACUUAAAAUCUGUUGAGCAGUAAUGCUCGUGGCGGUUCGAGCCCGCCCAGCGGUACAA
Molecule: transfer RNA, 89 nt
Filed under: Bacteroidota bacterium
Lineage: Bacteria; Pseudomonadati; Bacteroidota
Description: Bacteroidetes bacterium tRNA-Leu
Rfam family: tRNA
About the family: Transfer RNA (tRNA) molecules are approximately 80 nucleotides in length. Their secondary structure includes four short double-helical elements and three loops (D, anti-codon, and T loops).
Source: RNAcentral